This 253-nucleotide ribosomal RNA is filed under the name uncultured bacterium. RNAcentral's name for it is "partial 16S ribosomal RNA". It matches the Rfam family "Bacterial small subunit ribosomal RNA", at positions 524 to 776 of the family's 1533-position model. The record is from RNAcentral.
UACAGAGGGGGCAAGCGUUAUUCGGAAUUAUUGGGCGUAAAGGGCGCGUAGGCGGCCUGACAAGUGGAUGGUGAAAUCCCUCGGCUUAACCGAGGAACUGCCAUCCAGACUGUGUGGCUUGAGUCCGGGAGAGGUGAGUGGAAUUCCCAGUGUAGCGGUGAAAUGCGUAGAUAUUGGGAGGAACACCAGUGGCGAAGGCGGCUCACUGGACCGGUACUGACGCUGAGGCGCGAAAGCGUGGGGAGCAAACGGG